RNAcentral lists this long non-coding RNA (244 nucleotides) under Mytilus galloprovincialis (Mediterranean mussel). Lineage: Eukaryota; Metazoa; Mollusca; Bivalvia; Mytilida; Mytilidae. The record is from RNAcentral.
GUGUUUCUGGUAUGUUAUUUUUUCUUGUAUGGCAUGGUAUCUUGUAUAUUAUUAGAUAUGGUAUGGUAUUGUAGAGUGUCUUUUAUCUCAGUAUUGUGACUUCUUUCGUUUUAUAGCGGAUAUAGUAUUGAACUUGGUAUCGUAUUUGUUUCUUUUAUUAUAUGUAUCUGUUAGAGUAUUGUAUCUUGUAUAUUAUUUUAUCUUGUAUUUUAUUAUAUGUUGUAUACUAUUGAAUUUGGUAUUA